AUUGAACGCUGGCGGCAGGCCUAACACAUGCAAGUCGAGCGGUAACACAGGGAGCUUGCUCCUGGGUGACGAGCGGCGGACGGGUGAGUAAUGUCUGGGAAACUGCCUGAUGGAGGGGGAUAACUACUGGAAACGGUAGCUAAUACCGCAUAACGUCGCAAGACCAAAGAGGGGGAGCUUCGGGCCUCUUGCCAUCAGAUGUGCCCAGAUGGGAUUAGCUAGUAGGUGGGGUAACGGCUCACCUAGGCGACGAUCCCUAGCUGGUCUGAGAGGAUGACCAGCCACACUGGAACUGAGACACGGUCCAGACUCCUACGGGAGGCAGCAGUGGGGAAUAUUGCACAAUGGGCGCAAGCCUGAUGCAGCCAUGCCGCGUGUAUGAAGAAGGCCUUAGGGUUGUAAAGUACUUUCAGCGGGGAGGAAGGCGUUGAGGUUAAUAACCUCAGCGAUUGACGUUACCCGCAGAAGAAGCACCGGCUAACUCCGUGCCAGCCGCCGCGGUAA
Molecule: ribosomal RNA, 504 nt
Filed under: uncultured bacterium
Lineage: Bacteria
Description: partial 16S ribosomal RNA
Rfam family: Bacterial small subunit ribosomal RNA
Source: RNAcentral